Molecule: ribosomal RNA, 449 nt
Filed under: uncultured bacterium
Lineage: Bacteria
Also listed under: 1 other name
Description: bacterial SSU rRNA
Rfam family: Bacterial small subunit ribosomal RNA
Source: RNAcentral
UGGGGAAUAUUGCACAAUGGGCGCAAGCCUGAUGCAGCCAUGCCGCGUGUGUGAAGAAGGCCUUCGGGUUGUAAAGCACUUUCAGCGAGGAGGAAGGGUAGUGUGUUAAUAGCACAUUGCAUUGACGUUACUCGCAGAAGAAGCACCGGCUAACUCCGUGCCAGCAGCCGCGGUAAUACGGAGGGUGCAAGCGUUAAUCGGAAUUACUGGGCGUAAAGCGCACGCAGGCGGUUUGUUAAGUCAGAUGUGAAAUCCCCGCGCUUAACGUGGGAACUGCAUUUGAAACUGGCAAGCUAGAGUCUUGUAGAGGGGGGUAGAAUUCCAGGUGUAGCGGUGAAAUGCGUAGAGAUCUGGAGGAAUACCGGUGGCGAAGGCGGCCCCCUGGACAAAGACUGACGCUCAGGUGCGAAAGCGUGGGGAGCAAACAGGAUUAGAUACCCCCGUAGUCC